Non-coding RNA from Firmicutes bacterium CAG:170, 265 nucleotides. It matches the Rfam family "Bacterial large signal recognition particle RNA". Rfam says of the family: The signal recognition particle (SRP) is a universally conserved ribonucleoprotein involved in the co-translational targeting of proteins to membranes. Archaeal SRP consists of a 7S RNA and homologues of the eukaryotic SRP19 and SRP54 proteins. The record is from Rfam. Lineage: Bacteria; Bacillati; Bacillota.
CUGCACUACUCGGGGAGAUAGCGGUGCCUUGUUACCCGCAAUCCGCUAUAGCGGGGAGGAAAUCCCGACCGAGGGUGCGUAUUGUAUCGUCUGACCCAUAUAAGCGGCGUUGAAGAUUCGGUCUUACGCAACGGGGCCCUGUGAACCGUGUCAGGUGGGGAACCAAGCAGCACUAAGCAGCCCACCCCGUGUGCCGUGAGGCAGCCGUUUCCGAGCUGGCUGUAUGGGUAACGGGUGUAGUGCGCAUUCGAAGAAGGGUGUGCAG